Molecule: small nuclear RNA, 107 nt
Organism: Chionomys nivalis (European snow vole)
Lineage: Eukaryota; Metazoa; Chordata; Mammalia; Rodentia; Cricetidae
Source: RefSeq, a predicted model, not a curated record
AUGCUUCCUUUGAUAGCACAUAUGUUAUAUUUUCAAUGACCUGGAGAAGAGUUGCAUGGCUCCUGUACAGAGACAACAAUUAUGCUUGUGAAACAUUCAUUAUUUUU